GGCCCUGAGGGGAGCGGGCGGCAGCGGCAGGGCUGGCGGCGCGCGGGCGGAGAUCGCCCGCGUCCCGCCGCGCCGGGCUCCUUCGGUAACGGAUGGGGCGGCGAACUAGAGAGGUCUGGGCGCAUCAGGCAAGUUGCGUGCGGCGAGCGGCGUCUGCUCAAAAAGGCUACAGUGCUCGUUGUACAGCAUGGUGAUGAUGUGAAGCCUUAAGAGACGUUUCUGGCAUACUGGAGUAGGGCUGGAAGCUCCUGAGAGGAGUGAUUGAAGUUUAAAUUCUCUCAGGCUGGAGAGACAGCUGGAACCAGUGCUUGGUUUAGGUUUCUUACUGUUGUAAAAGGAAGAAUACAGCCUUAACAGCACAAACCAGCCUGAACUCAUGGUCAUCUUAAUGCAGACUUGAAGAAGUGUUUUCCUGAGC
Molecule: long non-coding RNA, 418 nt
Organism: Strigops habroptila (Kakapo)
Lineage: Eukaryota; Metazoa; Chordata; Aves; Psittaciformes; Psittacidae
Exons: 4
Source: RefSeq, a predicted model, not a curated record